UUGUAAUUCUACCCUCCCUGGGGCGCUGUGGAUAUCGCUCUCCCACGCCCCCAGUGAGUAACUUAGCGUGUGGUGGCCGUCCUUCCGCUCUUGUGGUGAGCGAGCCCGCGAGGGCAGCCAGCUCCGGGGCAUACACAGAAGUGGUCGUGAGGUACCAUGGAUUCAUCACUCACAUUCACCACUUACCAAUGAAAACCUGUCCUUUUCCUUUUAAGUCUGCAACCCCAAGUGUGCAUCUUGUUGGGCAUUGUCUCUCCCCAGCGGCCCAUGCCACGCCUGCAUCCGGAGUCCCCAUCUUUCUAGGGAGAGUUCAAAUCCAAGUCUGCCCCUUUCUCAGUGAAGCUGUUGUCUGUGGAAAGCUCUGCCUCUGCAACUUGACUGUUCUCUAGGAAGACCACUCAACAGGCCAGGAAUAUGGCUCCAGGGCUCCUGACAACCAGGGAUGAGGCACUAAUGGCCUUCCGGGAUGUAGCUGUGGCCUUCACCCAGAAGGAGUGGAAGCUACUAAGUCCUGCUAAGAGGACCCUAUAUCGGGAUGUAAUGCUGGAGAACUACAGCCACUUGGUGUCGCUGGGUAAGGACGGCCCUUCUCAGGUCUCUGACUCUGCCUGUGGGCAUUUUA
This is a long non-coding RNA of Hipposideros armiger (great roundleaf bat), 622 nucleotides long. RefSeq lists it as uncharacterized. The transcript is spliced from 4 exons. NCBI's taxonomy places the organism in Eukaryota, Metazoa, Chordata, Mammalia, Chiroptera, Hipposideridae. The record is from RefSeq and is a predicted model, not a curated record.